UCAAAGAGCCUUGGAGAGUUGAAGUCUGACUGCCAAUUUCUGUCAGAGAUGGUGCAUGCCCAGUUGCAAAAGACUUCCUAUAAAAUAACUAAAAUCCUCAGCCUUGUGGAUUUUUAAGAAUUAUCCCAGCAUGGAAAACUAAACAUAAUUGUUAACCAUUUAUAUUCUGGCUUUCUAAGGAAUGUUUGUAGUUUAGUUAUAGAUUCCAUUAACCUUUGUAUUGUACAUGCACAUACAGCCAUGCCCACACAAAUACAUGAACACUUCCCUGUUUUCCUUUUUUUUCUUAAUAAUUCUUUUCUUUUCCAUGUGUCUUCUUUUUAAAAUAUGAAUCCUUCUCUUCUUCCAUUACAAUCUGGAGUAGGUUGUGGUUGCCAACCAUAAAGCUUUUCUUCAAGUACAGCUACCUCCAGAAUACCAUAGUGGUGGUAUGAUGGGCAAAGCUUCAAGUGGCAACUAUCACUUCAUUCCAUACACUGUAUCAUCAUGCGAUGAUUAUUUUUGUUGUGAAAGUGAUGCACAGCGGAGAGCAUCUGAGUACAUCCAACCUAAUUGGGACACCAUCCUGGGACCACUUUGUGUUCCACUAAUGGACAAAUUUAUCAGCCUCCUCAAGGACAUCCAUAUCACAUCAUGUACAUAUUAUAAGGAAAGUCUGUUAAAUGACAUCAGAAAAGCUAGAGAGAAAUAUCAAGGAGAAGAACUUGCAAAAGAGCUGGCUAGGAUUAAACUUCGUAUGGAUAAUACUGAAGUCCUGACUUCUGACAUUAUAAUCAAUUUACUCCUAUCCUAUAGAGAUAUCCAGGAUUAUGAUGCUAUGGUGAAACUGGUGGAGACACUGGAAAUGCUCCCAACUUGUGAUCUGGCUGAUCAGCACAAUAUCAAAUUUCACUAUGCCUUUGCACUGAAUCGAAGGAACAAUAUGGGUGACCGGGAGAAGGCACUGCAAGUGAUGCUGCAGGUCUUGCAGAUGUGUGAUCAUCCUGCACCAGACAUGUUUUGCCUAUGUGGGAGGAUUUACAAGGACAUAUUCCUUGAUUCGGAUUGUAAAGACAAUAGUAGCAGAGAUAAAGCCAUUGAAUGGUAUCGUAAAGGGUUUGAGUUCCAGUCAACUCUGUAUUCUGGAAUUAACCUUGCAGUUUUGCUGAUUGUUUCAGGGCAGCAAUUUGAAACUUCCAUGGAACUGAGGAAAAUAGGAGUACGGUUAAAUAGUUUAUUGGGAAGAAAAGGGAAUCUGGAAAAAAUGAACAAUUACUGGGAUGUUGGACAGUUUUUCACUGUAAGCAUGCUGGCCAGUGACAUUGGUAAAGCUGUCCAAGCAGCAGAGAGACUUUUCAAAUUGAAACCACCCAUUUGGUAUUUGAAAUCCUUGGUACAAAAUCUGAUAUUAAUUCAACAUUUCAAGAAACUGACCAUAGAACAUUCUCCUAGGCAAGAAAGACUGAACUUCUGGUUGGAUAUAAUUGUUGAGGCAACCAAAGAAAAAAACAAUGGGUCAAGAUUCCCAGUAUUAGUGAUAGAGCCAACCAAGAUAUAUCAGCCUGCGUAUGUUUCAAUCAAUAAUGAAGCUGAUGAGAGGACAGUUUCCCUUUGGCAUGUGUCCCCUGCAGAAAUGAAACAAAUUCAUGAAUGGAACUUUACAGCUUCUUCUAUUAGAGGAAUAAGCAUAUCUAAAUUUGAUGAACGGUGUUGUUUUCUCUAUGUCCAUGACAACUCUGAUGACUUUCAAAUAUAUUUUUCUACUGAGUAUCAAUGUACUAGAUUCUGUGCUUUGGUUAAGGAGAUCUUAACUGAUGCUGUAGGAAAUACCCUGGAACUUGAAGGAGAGAUUGAUGCUGAUACAUUGGAAUAUGAGUAUGACUAUGAUGAGAAUGGAGAUAGAGUUGUAUUAGGGAAAGGAACCUAUGGGAUAGUUUAUGCUGGAAGAGAUCUUAGCAAUCAAGUUCGAAUAGCCAUCAAAGAAAUACCAGAAAAAGAUAGCAGAUAUUCUCAGCCACUGCAUGAAGAAAUUGCUCUUCACAAAUAUCUAAAACACCGAAAUAUUGUUCAGUAUCUUGGUUCUGUUUCUGAAGAUGGAUAUAUUAAAAUCUUCAUGGAACAAGUGCCUGGCGGAAGUCUUUCUGCACUCCUUAGAUCAAAAUGGGGACCAAUGAAAGAACCCACCAUUAAGUUUUAUACCAAGCAGAUACUAGAAGGCUUGAAAUAUCUCCAUGAGAAUCAGAUUGUACAUAGAGACAUAAAAGGAGACAAUGUUUUAGUUAAUACGUACAGUGGAGUAGUAAAGAUUUCUGAUUUUGGAACUUCUAAACGCCUUGCAGGAGUCAAUCCAUGUACAGAAACAUUUACAGGUACUUUGCAGUACAUGGCUCCAGAGAUCAUUGAUAAGGGUCCUCGAGGCCAUGGAGCACCAGCUGAUAUUUGGUCCCUGGGAUGUACUAUCAUUGAAAUGUCAACAGGAAAGCCUCCAUUUCAUGAACUUGGGGAGCCACAAGCAGCGAUGUUCAAAGUUGGGAUGUUCAAAAUUCACCCUGAAAUCCCUGAAUCACUUUCUGUUGAAGCUAGAUCUUUCAUCUUGCUCUGCUUUGAACCUGAUCCAAAUAAGCGUGUUACAGCAUCUGAUUUACUUAAAGAUCCAUUCUUAAAACAAGUGAACAAAGGCAAGAAAAACAGAAUUGCAUUUAAGCCUUCAGAUUAUAAUCGUAGCACAUCUCUGCCUCUGCCAGUCCAAGGAGAGCAGGCUGGCAGUAGCAGUAGUGAGCAUGGCUCUGUCUCACCAGACUCCGAUGUGCAGUCUGAUAUGUUCUUUGAAAAGGCAAAACGUUCUCUUUCUGAAGUUCAAUCAAACAGUCCCAUUUCCCAUUUGUUAAGUGUUCCUGAUGACAGCUCAGUUCCAGAUGAGCGAAGUUCUCCCCCUUCCCUUGAGGAAAAAGAUGCUGGCCUUUUCUUACUACGAAAGGACAGUGAACGUCGUGCAAUUCUAUAUAAAAUACUUAAGGAGGAGCAGAAUCAAGUAGCUUCUAAUCUACAAGAAUGUGUAGCACAGAGUUCUGAAGAAUUGCAUCUUUCAGUUGCUCACAUUAAGCAGAUAAUUGGGAUUUUAAGAGAUUUUAUACGCUCUCCUGAACACAGAAUUAUGGCAUCAACGAUAUCGAAGCUGAAAAUGGAUCUUGAUUUUGACAGUACUUCAAUCAAUCAGAUUCACCUAGUAUUGUUUGGAUUUCAAGAUGCAGUGAAUAAAGUGUUAAGGAAUCAUUUAAUCAGACCUCACUGGAUGUUUGCAAUGGAUAAUAUAAUACGGCGUGCAGUUCAGGCAGCUAUCACUAUUCUUAUUCCUGAGCUUCGAGCUCAUUUUGAACCAGCAUCAGAAACUGAAGGAGUAGACAAAGAUGCAGAUGAAGUUGAGGAUGAUUACCAGCAAGCUGAACAAGGAAGACAAGAGGAAUCAGUUACUGCUGGAGGGUGCACGCUCACUUCUUCCACGUCCCUGGAUGCUGAACAGAAACUUAGUUUGCGGUUAAAUAAAUUAAAACAGCAAACAAACAGGUUACUGGAAAACCUAGUACAGAGGGAAAGGGAAUAUCAGAAACUCCUUCAGCAAAUAUUGCAGCAAAAAAUUCAAGAUUUGCAUCUCCUUCAACUCCAGUUAAAAACUACUGAAAUUCAACCGUCAUCAUCUGCUUUUCAGCACAAUGCUGAUGAAGAACUUAUCAAGUGGUUAAAACAACAAAGAGCUGAUUCAGAUGCAAUUGAUAGGUUUGUUCAAGAGGACUAUACACUCAGCGAUGUUCUAAACAGUAUCACAAAAGAUGACUUGCAACUGCUUAGACUCCGUGGUGGACUUGUCUGUCGCAUCUGGAAUGCAAUAUUAAAACACAGAAAGCAAAAUACAGUGUUGGGAAUGGAAGUUUAACGUUUCACUUUUGCCAGAUGCUAAUGGACUGAAAGAAAGAAAAAGUACACAUUCCAAAUAAGUUGUUUUAUACACUGAUCGCCUUGCAUGUUUUGCACAAAAAACAUUAAAAAGCUCUCUUUAAACGCCUAAGAGCAGGGGCCACCCUUGCCUGAUGGAAUGACUUGCGCCCAAGAGGGAAGAAGCCACCCUCCUCCAUACCCUCUCCUGCCGUAAGUCUAUAGGAGAUGCUUCCUUUACUUGGGUUUAGCUGCCAUAGUUUAAUUGGGAUGGGGGUUCUAAGAAACCCAGGCCCUAAGUCAUGUAGGCUUUACAGGUAAUAAUCAGUACCCUGAACUGCACAUAGAAACCAGUAAUCAAUGUGGCUCCUGUUAUAGUAGUGUUAUUUGACAACACUGAUUGAGGCAGCUGCAUUUUGUACCAGCUGAACUUUCUGUUUUCAAAGGCAGUGGUAUGCAGAUCAACUUGUAGUAAUGCAGGUGCAAAGUGACAAGGGCAUGAGUAACAUCUUCAAAGUAUUCUGUUCUAUGUAAGGCUGUAGCUG
Python bivittatus (Burmese python) is the source of this 4454-nucleotide non-coding RNA. The record is from RefSeq and is a predicted model, not a curated record. NCBI's taxonomy places the organism in Eukaryota, Metazoa, Chordata, Lepidosauria, Squamata, Pythonidae.